UCCUCCCUGCUGAGCUAUACCUAAGGCUAC
RNAcentral lists this non-coding RNA (30 nucleotides) under Mus musculus (house mouse). Lineage: Eukaryota; Metazoa; Chordata; Mammalia; Rodentia; Muridae. The record is from RNAcentral.